RNAcentral lists this ribosomal RNA (962 nucleotides) under uncultured Dechloromonas sp. Its description in RNAcentral is "bacterial SSU rRNA". It matches the Rfam family "Bacterial small subunit ribosomal RNA", at positions 405 to 1361 of the family's 1533-position model. Lineage: Bacteria; Pseudomonadati; Pseudomonadota; Betaproteobacteria; Rhodocyclales; Azonexaceae. The record is from RNAcentral.
GUGAAGAAGGCCUUCUGGUUGUAAAGCUCUUUCGGCCGGGAAGAAAUCGCAUUGGUUAAUACCUGGUGUGGAUGACGGUACCGGAAUAAGAAGCACCGGCUAACUACCUGCCAGCAGCCGCGGUAAUACGUAGGGUGCGAGCGUUAAUCGGGAAUUACUGGGCGUAAAGCGUGCGCAGGCGGUUUUGUAAGACAGGCGUGAAAUCCCCGGGCUUCAACCUGGGAACUGCGCUUGUGACUGCAAGGCUAGAGUACGGCAGAGGGGGGUGGAAUUCCACGUGUAGCAGUGAAAUGCGUAGAGAUGUGGAGGAACACCAAUGGCGAAGGCAGCCCCCCUGGGUCGAUACUGACGCUCAUGCACGAAAGCGUGGGUAGCAAACAGGAUUAGAUACCCUGGUAGUCCACGCCCUAAACGAUGUCAACUAGGUGUUGGGAGGGUAAAACCUUUUAGUACCGGAGCUAACGCGUGAAGUUGACCGCCUGGGGAGUACGGCCGCAAGGUUAAAACUCAAAGGAAUUGACGGGGACCCGCACAAGCGGUGGAUGAUGUGGAUUAAUUCGAUGCAACGCGAAAAACCUUACCUACCCUUGACAUGUCAGGAAGUCUUGAGAGAUUGAGAUGUGCCCGAAAGGGAACCUGAACACAGGUGCUGCAUGGCUGUCGUCAGCUCGUGUCGUGAGAUGUUGGGUUAAGUCCCGCAACGAGCGCAACCCUUGUCGUUAAUUGCCAUCAUUUAGUUGGGCACUUUAGCGAGACUGCCGGUGACAACCCGGAAGAAGGUGGGGAUGAACUCCAGUCCUCAUGGCCCUUAUUGGGUAGGGCUUCCCACGUCAUACAAUGGUCGUACAAAGGGUCCGCCACCCGCGAGGGGGGAGCCAAUCCGAAGCCGAUCUAGUCGGAUUGCAGGCAGCAACUCCCCUGCAUGAAGUUCGGAUCGCUAGUAAUCUGGAUCGCAGUCCCGG